Molecule: non-coding RNA, 21 nt
Filed under: Caenorhabditis elegans
Lineage: Eukaryota; Metazoa; Nematoda; Chromadorea; Rhabditida; Rhabditidae
Source: RNAcentral
UUUUUCUGAUAUAACGGAGAA